This is a microRNA precursor of Ochotona princeps (American pika), 111 nucleotides long. The record is from Ensembl. Lineage: Eukaryota; Metazoa; Chordata; Mammalia; Lagomorpha; Ochotonidae.
GACAGCGUGGCGUUGUAGGGCUCCACCACGGUGUCAGACACCUUGGGCGAGGGCACCACGCUGAACGUGUUCAUGAUGCGGUCAGGGUACUCCUCCCGCACCUUGCUGAUG